UAGGGAAUCUUCGGCAAUGGACGAAAGUCUGACCGAGCAACGCCGCGUGAGUGAAGAAGGUUUUCGGAUCGUAAAACUCUUUUGUUAGAGAAGAACAAGGACGUUAGUAACUGAACGUCCCCUGACGGUAUCUAACCAGAAAGCCACGGCUAACUACGUGCCAGCAGCCGCGGUAAUACGUAGGUGGCAAGCGUUGUCCGGAUUUAUUGGGCGUAAAGCGAGCGCAGGCGGUUUCUUAAGUCUGAUGUGAAAGCCCCCGGCUCAACCGGGGAGGGUCAUUGGAAACUGGGAGACUUGAGUGAAGAGGAGGAGAGUGGAAUUCCGUGUGUAGCGGUGAGAUGCGUAGAUAUAUGGAGGAACACCAGUGGCGAAGGCGGCUCUAUGGUCUGUAACUGACGCUGAGGCUCGAAAGCGUGGGGAGCAAACAGG
RNAcentral lists this ribosomal RNA (429 nucleotides) under Gemmatimonadota bacterium. RNAcentral's name for it is "Gemmatimonadetes bacterium partial 16S ribosomal RNA". It matches the Rfam family "Bacterial small subunit ribosomal RNA", at positions 355 to 776 of the family's 1533-position model. The record is from RNAcentral. Lineage: Bacteria; Pseudomonadati; Gemmatimonadota.